RNAcentral lists this ribosomal RNA (465 nucleotides) under uncultured bacterium. Its description in RNAcentral is "bacterial SSU rRNA". It matches the Rfam family "Bacterial small subunit ribosomal RNA", at positions 338 to 795 of the family's 1533-position model. The record is from RNAcentral.
CCUANGGGAGGCAGCAGUAGGGAAUAUUGCGCAAUGGACGAAAGUCUGACGCAGCAACGCCGCGUGGGUGAUGACGCUUCUUGGAGUGUAAAACCCUGUCAGUGGGGACGAAACGCAUGAUGAGUAACUGUUUCAUGCCUGACGGUACCCACAGAGGAAGUCCCGGCUAACUCCGUGCCAGCAGCCGUGGUAAUACGGGGGGGACAAGCGUUGUUCGGAUUUACUGGGCGUAAAGGGCGCGUAGGCGGGUCUUCAAGUUGGAUGUGAAAACCGGUGGCUCAACCACCGGCCUGCAUUCAAAACUGUUGAUCUUGAGUCGGGAAGAGGAAAGCGGAAUUCCAGGUGUAGCGGUGAAAUGCGUAGAUAUCUGGAAGAACACCGGUAGCGAAGGCGGCUUUCUGGUCCCACACUGACGCUAAAGCGCGAAGGCUUGGGUAGCAAACAGGAUUAGAUACCCUGNUANUC